This 253-nucleotide ribosomal RNA is filed under the name uncultured bacterium. RNAcentral's name for it is "partial 16S ribosomal RNA". It matches the Rfam family "Bacterial small subunit ribosomal RNA", at positions 524 to 776 of the family's 1533-position model. The record is from RNAcentral. RNAcentral also lists the same sequence under 1 other name.
UACGGAGGGGGUUAGCGUUGUUCGGAAUGACUGGGCGUAAAGCGCGCGUAGGCGGAUCAGAAAGUUGGGGGUGAAAUCCCGGGGCUCAACCCCGGAAUGGCCUUCAAGACUCCUGGUCUUGAGUUCGAGAGAGGUGAGUGGAAUUCCGAGUGUAGAGGUGAAAUUCGUAGAUAUUCGGAGGAACACCAGUGGCGAAGGCGGCUCACUGGCUCGACACUGACGCUGAGGUGCGAAAGCGUGGGGAGCAAACAGG